ACUCAAAUGAAUUGACGGGUCCCCGCACAAGCAGCGGAGCGUGUGGUUUAAUUCGAUGCAACGCGAAGAACCUUACCUGGGCUUGACAUGUAUUCGCAAUCCCAAGAAAUUGGGCCCUCUGCAAGGACGGAUACACAGAUGUUGCAUGGCUGUCGUCAGCUCGUGUCGUGAGAUGUUGGGUUAAGUCCCUCAACGAGCGCAACCCUUAUUUCUAGUUGAAUAUCUAGAGAGACUGCCGGAAACAAACCGGAGGAAGGCGGGGAUGAUGUCAAGUCAGCAUGACUCUUACGUCCAGGGCUACACACACGCUACAAUGGAGGGUACAGCGAGAAGCCAACCUGUGAAGGUGAGCAGACCUCGAAAAGCCUUCCUCAGUUCAGAUUGCACUCUGAAACCCGAGUGCAUGAAGUCGGAGUUGCUAGUAACCGCGUGUCAGCAUAGCGCGGUGAAUAUGUUCCCGGGGAUUGUACACACCGCCCGU
RNAcentral lists this ribosomal RNA (481 nucleotides) under uncultured bacterium. RNAcentral describes it as "partial 16S ribosomal RNA". It matches the Rfam family "Bacterial small subunit ribosomal RNA", at positions 899 to 1397 of the family's 1533-position model. The record is from RNAcentral.